UACGUAGGGGGCUAGCGUUGUCCGGAAUCAUUGGGCGUAAAGCGCGUGUAGGCGGCCCGGUAAGUCCGCUGUGAAAGUCGGGGGCUCAACCCUCGAAAGCCGGUGGAUACUGUCGGGCUUGAGUGCGGAAGAGGCGAGUGGAAUUCCUGGUGUAGCGGUGAAAUGCGCAGAUAUCAGGAAGAACACCCGUGGCGAAGGCGGCUCUCUGGGACGGUACUGACGCUGAGACGCGAAAGCGUGGGGAGCGAACAGG
This 253-nucleotide ribosomal RNA is filed under the name uncultured bacterium. Its description in RNAcentral is "partial 16S ribosomal RNA". It matches the Rfam family "Bacterial small subunit ribosomal RNA", at positions 524 to 776 of the family's 1533-position model. The record is from RNAcentral.